Gasterosteus aculeatus aculeatus (three-spined stickleback) is the source of this 1776-nucleotide long non-coding RNA. NCBI's taxonomy places the organism in Eukaryota, Metazoa, Chordata, Actinopteri, Perciformes, Gasterosteidae. The record is from Ensembl.
AUUAGAAGCAAAUUCAGUGCACACAUUAUGCAACACUCAGGCUCUUGACAAGUCUAAUUAAAUGUACUGUUUUUUCGAACUGUCACACUGCCUGCAUGACAAGCAUUACAUAUCAAAAACUACUGGAAAAAAAGUCUUACCGUUCACUCAAGACUGCUGGUAAUUUCCACUAUCGCAGGAGCUCCAGAAGAAGGACCACUACUGGGGAUCCUCGAGGAAGGAGCCUGUCGUCUUCUCUGGACGGUCCUGCGUGGAAUCCUAACACUACUUUACCAAACUCAUUUUGAAAAAUCUUUGAAACACUAACUAGAUGGCAUCUUCUUGCAUACACAGGCCAAUGUUAUUUAGCAAUACAAAAACAUUGGCCAACAGCAAACAAGGAUCCAAAUAGUUCUCCAGGGCAGACAACUCAGGCAUGCUAUACAGUUAGAAAUACAUUUUAUUAGAGCCAUUUCACAGCCUGCAGAACAAGCAUUACAUACCAAAACAAAUACCUCGAUGAAGAGCCCAGGCCUUGCCCAUCUUCUCUCCUUUGACCUGGACGGUUCUUUCACUUGAGGUUGACUGCCCAUAAUCAGCAAUUGCAGUUUAGUGUACUAAAAGACUACAGAAUACAUUGAAAAUGUAUUAAUCCACUGUCAAAAUUACAUUACAGGUGUCGAACCAGCCAUAGCAGUCUGAGAAGAGAUCACAAGCAAUUAGUAAAGAUCAACAUUUCAGAAUGUACUGCUGAGCGAACGCCCUGCGGUGAAGAUGAACAGGAUCAGUCUCUCGGCAUCGCUUGGGACCGCUGGCGGUACUCUGGGAGGUGAUGAAGGAUCCAGGCAGCCGGAGUCAACAUGGCUGCUGCAAACAGCGACAUGACCAAGAAACUCUGCUGUGAGGCACAAAAGACAACCACAUGACAAAAUCAGGAUAGAAAGUACAUCUAGUUCAUUAAAAAAAACAUCCGUAGUAAUUCUGAUUGGUCAUUAACAAAACUAAAAUGAACAUGGUUGAAUUCAUUUGAAAAACAUUUUACAUGAAUAAAUCUGAAACCAGGUGCAUUCUGGGUAAACCAUAGUAGAAUGGAAAUCAUAAUGCUGCAGGUGAGUUGAGCAAUUCAUGUAGUUUAUGUUUCAUACCAUCAGAUGUAUUAUCACAUGAUAGUUUCAUAAAUUCAUACCACAUGUAAAACAGUGACAAUACCUCUGAAAAGAAAAACAUGAAAGAUUCAGUUACAAUUUGAUCUACUAAUGAUAAAAGUGACGGCCCUUGAUUUGUAGUUCAAGUGAUUCAAUUGAUCCCAUUAGGGAAUAUUAUGAUGUGUGAAGAUGAUGAACGUAUUCACAUUAUAAAUAUCAUGAACGUACGAACAUUAUGAACAUCAUAUAGGUAUAAUUAAAUUGUAGUUCAAAAGAGGCGAUGAAUCCCGAUGUCACAAAGUCAAAGGGGCUCAGACGAAGAUAAAGACAGUGAGACGGAUAAAGAGAUAGUGAGACAAAUAGUGAGACAGAUGAAGACACUCACUGCGGCUCCGAUCUUGUUUCUCGGAGGUUUACUGUAGAUCAUCUUCUUUGUCUGCUUCACUAUUUCUUUUGGUGGAGUUAAAGUCUUCAUCCUCCUCAGGACAACACUCGCCAUUGUUACCACAACAAACACACACCGUGUAAGUAAGCAACACCUGUUGAACUCUGAUUUUCUGUUUCUGAUUGACCGUUCUCUGGUGGCGAAGAUUUCACUUUGACCACUGUGGCUGGAUCGGAAGGGAGCGGUGGAGGGUAGGGAAGUGGGAGG